UACGUAGGUGGCGAGCGUUGUCCGGAAUUAUUGGGCGUAAAGGGCGUGUAGGUGGGAUAGUAAGUCUGCUUUAAAAGUGCGGGGCUCAACCCCGUGAUGGGGUAGAAACUGCUAUUCUUGAGUGCAGGAGAGGAAAGCGGAAUUCCCAGUGUAGCGGUGAAAUGCGUAGAUAUUGGGAGGAACACCAGUGGCGAAGGCGGCUUUCUGGACUGUGUCUUACACUGAGGCGCGAAAUCUAGGGGAGCGAACGGG
This 252-nucleotide ribosomal RNA is filed under the name uncultured bacterium. RNAcentral describes it as "partial 16S ribosomal RNA". It matches the Rfam family "Bacterial small subunit ribosomal RNA", at positions 524 to 776 of the family's 1533-position model. The record is from RNAcentral.